ACUUAUCUGGAAAAUAAAUGUGGUGUGAUGAAGUAAAAUUUUCAAAAUCUGUGUUUAAUUAUGGGCUAAUGGUUUUCAUAUGUUAUGCACAUGUUGUUGCCCGUAUAUACUUAGUUGUAACUGCACAGGUUUCCUUCAUUUCUGAUAAACUGAAUUGGAGUACAUGUAAAUGCUUUCUCUGCUAAAAUGAAUGAAAUUGGAAGUGAAAUGUUAUG
This 215-nucleotide small RNA is filed under the name Oryza sativa Japonica Group (Japanese rice). RNAcentral's name for it is "sRNA OsIDD2". Lineage: Eukaryota; Viridiplantae; Streptophyta; Magnoliopsida; Poales; Poaceae. The record is from RNAcentral.